RNAcentral lists this transfer RNA (72 nucleotides) under Phrynosoma platyrhinos (Desert horned lizard). RNAcentral's name for it is "tRNA-OTHER". The record is from RNAcentral. Lineage: Eukaryota; Metazoa; Chordata; Lepidosauria; Squamata; Phrynosomatidae.
GACUCUGUGGAGUAGUGGUUUGUAUGUUGGUCUACAACUCUGGAGACCAGGGUUUGAUUCCCAGCUUGGCCA